RNAcentral lists this small RNA (78 nucleotides) under Priestia megaterium. Lineage: Bacteria; Bacillati; Bacillota; Bacilli; Caryophanales; Bacillaceae. The record is from RNAcentral.
UUGAGCCGAUGUGUCUUGAAAGGGACUUGCACGGUUCUUAGGGGAGAAAGGGGCAGGGAUGCCCCUAACUUACCCGAC